This 97-nucleotide ribosomal RNA is filed under the name uncultured Glomus. Its description in RNAcentral is "partial 18S ribosomal RNA". Lineage: Eukaryota; Fungi; Glomeromycota; Glomeromycetes; Glomerales; Glomeraceae. The record is from RNAcentral.
CGCGUCGCUACUACCGAUGAAUGGCUUAGUGAGCCCUCGAUCGAGUUCGAGACUAGCAACAGUUCUGUUCUGAAAAGUUGGUCAAACUUGGCAUUUG